This 669-nucleotide long non-coding RNA is filed under the name Erythranthe guttata (spotted monkey flower). RNAcentral's name for it is "long non-coding RNA (EGUT_LNC000930)". Lineage: Eukaryota; Viridiplantae; Streptophyta; Magnoliopsida; Lamiales; Phrymaceae. The record is from RNAcentral.
GUUCCAAUGAAGAUCUUCGUUAGUCGAUCUAUUCAAUCGAUGGAAUCCAGACGAUCACAGGAGAUGUUAGAAAUUUUGCCCACCUUCGAGCGCCGGGACUCACAAAGCUACUCGCCUCAACUGAAGAGACAUUGUUAUGCUUUAGUUAACAUCAUUGAUUUAUGGUGUUCUCUAAGCGAUCUAAGUGCGAUAAAGAAGGAUAAAACCAAAAACAAGAUUAUUCUAUAAAAAAGUACAUUCACGAGAGCAAAGCAGUAAUUCAUAGUGUAUUCCGUCUUGGUAGAACCGAGCGAAAGAUGGAGAAACACAAAAAAUAUAAGACUGUAAAGAAAUACAAGAGCAAUAAUACAAGGUGUUUUCCUUUUGCAGCGGAACCGCGCGGAAUAAAAAGAAACACCACAACCAAGAUUGGAUUGACAAAUCAAAACGAGCGUUGGUCUAUGGUGUUUUCCAUCUUGGUAGAACCAAGUGAAAGAUGGAUAAACACCAAAAAAUCAACAGUAUGACUCUGAUACUAUGUUAGAAUAGUUGGAAAACUAUCAUGACUAUAUUGAAUUGUGUAUUAUUCUUUCAUAGAGAUACCCUAUUUAUAAUAAGGAAUGUAAUUCUAGUUACAAUCUUACUAGAACUCCUAAUCUGAAAAUAACUCUAUAAUAAUACUUCUAAUUA